This 168-nucleotide small RNA is filed under the name Streptomyces malaysiense. Its description in RNAcentral is "c-di-AMP sequence". It matches the Rfam family "c-di-AMP riboswitch aptamer (ydaO/yuaA leader)". Rfam says of the family: This family represents a conserved RNA structure found upstream of the ydaO and yuaA genes in Bacillus subtilis and related genes in other bacteria. The ydaO/yuaA element is thought to act as a genetic "off" switch for the ydaO and yuaA genes in its native state. The record is from RNAcentral. Lineage: Bacteria; Bacillati; Actinomycetota; Actinomycetes; Kitasatosporales; Streptomycetaceae.
CGUGCGCACGCGCCGAAUCCCGUAAGGGAACCGGGGAACCACCACCUUGGGGUGAAUCACGCGGACACCGACGCGGACCCAGCGGUCCACGAGCGGUAUACGCGCGUAGGAGACCUUCCUGCUCCGAACCCGUCAGCUAACCCGGUAGGCGGAGGAAGGAAAGGAGCA